GGUUUAGGUGUGUGACCCCCCCCCCCCCAAAAAAAAAUGGGGGGGGGGGUGAGAGUGUUGGGGGGGUGUGCAGGUAAGGCAGCACCCCCACAGUGAGGGGGGGCAGGUGGAGGGGGUGACCCCCCCCCCCCAAAAUUAAGGGGGGGUCGGUUUGGAGGUUGGGGGGGGCAAUGUGCAGGUAAAGGGAGUGACCCCCCCCCCAAAAAAAAAACAAGGUGUGUGGGGGUCAAUGGACAGGUAAAGGGGGUGACCCCCCCCCAAAAAAUGAGGUGUGGGGGGGUCAAUGAACAGGUAAAAGGGGGUGACACCCCCCCCCCCCAAAAUAAAGGGGGGGUCGGUUUGGAGGUUGGGGGGGGGUCAAUGUGCAGGUAAAGGAGGUGACACCCCCCCAAAAAAAAAUAAGGUGUGUGGGGGGGUCAAUGUGCAGGUAAAGGGGGUGACCCCCCCCAAAAAAAAUGAGGUGUGGGGGGGUCAAUGUGCAGGUAAAGGAGGUGACACCCCCCCCCCAAAAAUAAGGGGGGUCGGUUUGGAGGUUGGGGGGGGUCAAUGUGCAGGUAAAAGGGGUGACCCCCCCCCCCAAAAAAAUGAGGUGUGGGGGGGUCAAUGAACAGGUAAAGGGGGUGACCCCCCCCCAAAAAUUGAGGUGUGUGGGGGGGCUUCAAUGUGCAGGUAAAGGGGGUGACACCCCCCCAAAAAAAAAUGAGGUGUGGAGGGGUCAAUGUGCAGGUAAAGGGGGUGACCCCCCCCCCCAAAAAAAAAUGAGGUGUGUGUGGGUCAAUGGACAGGUAAAGGGGGUGACCCCCCCCCGAAAAAAAAUGAUGUGGGGGGGUGCUCAAUGUGCAGGUAAAGGGGGUGACACCCCCCCAAAAAAAUAUGAUGUGGGGGGGGUCAAUGUACAGGUAAAGGGGGUGACCCCCCCCCAAAAAAUAGGGUGUUGGGGGGGGUCGAUGAACAGGUAAAGGGGGUGACCCCCCCCCAAAAAAAUGAGGUGUGGGGGGGUCAAUGUGCAGGUAAAGGGGUGACCCCCCCCCAAAAAAAUAGGGUGUUGGGGGGGGUCGAUGAACAGGUAAAAGGGGUGACCCCCCCCCAAAAAAAUGAGGUGUGGGGGGGUCAAUGGACAGGUAAAGGGGGUGACCCCCCCCAAAAAAAAUAAGGGGUGUGGGGGUCAAUGGACAGGUAAAGGGGGUGACCCCCCCCCAAAAAAAAAUGAGGUGUGGGGGGGUCAAUGGACAGGUAAAGGGGGUGACCCCCCCCCAAAAAAAAUCAGGUUGGGGGGGUCAAUGUACAGGUAAAGGGGGUGACACCCCCCCCCCAAAAAAAAAUAAGGGGGAGUCGGUUUGGAGGUUGGGGGGGGUCAAUGUGCAGGUAAAAGGGGUGACCCCCCCCCCCAAAAAAUGAGGUGUGGGGGGGUCAAUGUGCAGGUAAAGGGGGUGACCCCCCCCCCAAAAAAAAUGAGGUGUGGGGGGGUCAAUGGACAGGUGAAGUUUGGGACACCCCCCC
Molecule: long non-coding RNA, 1500 nt
Organism: Chiroxiphia lanceolata (lance-tailed manakin)
Lineage: Eukaryota; Metazoa; Chordata; Aves; Passeriformes; Pipridae
Exons: 6
Source: RefSeq, a predicted model, not a curated record